This 1447-nucleotide long non-coding RNA is filed under the name Calidris pugnax (ruff). RNAcentral's name for it is "lncRNA (ENSCPUG00000017025.1)". The record is from RNAcentral. Lineage: Eukaryota; Metazoa; Chordata; Aves; Charadriiformes; Scolopacidae.
CCUACAAAUGCUUGUCCUUCUUUUUCCAGCCUCAGGCUGUCAGCGUAACAGGACUGGGGACAUUUUAUAUCAAAAAAUGUCACUUCUUUGAAAAUGGCAAGAUGAUCACAUUUCAGAAACCUGUGUUUUCGCUGUCCAGGACUGUGGCACAGAUCAGUGAGCUGCAACAUGCUUCCAUACCUGUUCCCGGAGAGAUGAAAAAAGUGUCGGUGAGCUACAAGAAGACCCACUUGGAGGUGCCCUAUUCUGAGAAAGUCGCGCAGCACUGUGUGCAGGAGACCCUGGACUUUCUCUACUUCAUCCUAAAAAAGAAAGAAGAUAUGGACUUUGUUUUAAAGGAUGUUGGCACUCUUGCUAUCCGGGGAACAGAAGUGACAAUGACAUUUUGUGAAGACCUUUUACUAAGCCUCAACAACUCUAGAGACACAGUGGAGAAGUUGCUCACUGUAAGUUUAUUGUUUUUCCAGUGCUACUUAGACUAGGUUUGACAUCCCAUCAAAGGGCUGGGGAACUGAGCUCUGCUGGCCAGCUGUAACCUGCUGGGUCACUUGGACUACUCAUGGUCUGCAGCAGUGAAAGCUUGGUUUAGUGCCUUUCUUUUAUUUGCUGUCAUUCAAGGGUGCUGGGAAGGUACACAGUACUACUUUUGCUGAGCAAGGGAAAGCCCCGGCAGGGCCUUGCCAUAAGGAGGAAAAAGGCCAAAGCAAUGGCAGGGAUGAUGAUGUUCACCCCACGCUCUGGACAUGAGGCUGAGGCGCAGAGACACCAAGGCUUUGCUGAGACCAGCCCCUCGUGGCUGCUGGCACGCUGCCGGUGUAGUUCUCCUGGCCUGACAGAAGAGGAGCCGAUGGCUGGGUUCCUUCACACUGCAGAGGCACGCAAGACUCUUUGGAAGUCUUUGGAAGGGCUCUGGAGAUAACAUCAAUUCCGAACCAUUUGCUCUUGGUUCAGCAAUAGUUAAAGCAAGCCAGUUCACUGCAACCAGCAGCCAGAAACCCAGGCUCGUGGUGAGCCUCCCCUUGUGUUGGCCUCCAUUGAUGUCUUCCCUGGUGAACAAGGAGUCUCCUGCCUGAUGCCAUCAACUCUUGCCCUUGCAAAAAAGCUGGUGACAUUCCUUGCCCUAGCAGAUGAUAUGCUGUGCGGCUUGUUUUGGCAAGGGGCUGAGGCACUUGGCCGGAAGUUUGCUGAGGGGCCGCUAAUUCUUGGAGCUAUGGAAAGGCUGUUGCGAGCAUUGAGUUCAUUGCCCUGGAGUCACAUCAGAUGUUUCUGUCCCUGUUGCAGAAGAAAUUGGUCAUAUCGGACAAAGAAGUCACUCUCUUUCCGAGCCGUUUUGGCCGCGUUCACCAGCUUCCACAGUGAGUAGAUUUGUUUCUGCAGCCCUUACCUGACUGAGCGCAGGGUGCUCUGCUCAUGUUUGGUAGGGCUCUGUCAAGUUACUGGAUUGCAG